RNAcentral lists this long non-coding RNA (534 nucleotides) under Danio rerio (zebrafish). Its description in RNAcentral is "lncRNA si:ch73-25h12.2 (ENSDARG00000099473.2)". The record is from RNAcentral. Lineage: Eukaryota; Metazoa; Chordata; Actinopteri; Cypriniformes; Danionidae.
CUCGGAGCUCCGAGACGGUCGAUUCUUCUCAUGAGUUUGGUUGACGUGUUUGACCGGGGCCUGUGGCGUCUUUCCCUUCUGGACUCCACUGACUUUGCCUUUGUUCCUGUUGCCAAACUCCGCUGUUCUUUUGGCGGGCACAGAGCUUUCUGGAACUGGACUCGAACUCUGUCAUUGUGGUCAUCUCCUCUCUGUGUCUUAAGUCUACCGACAUACAUAGCAAGUUAAAUGGACAAACUGGUAACAGCCGGAAAGCCGUUCAGCCGAAGAUAAGCAGUCAGCUGGACAGAGACAGUGCUGCCAGAAGGCCAGCGUUCUAUUUCCUGGAAAUGAUCUGCAUAGAAAUGUAACCUUCAGAGACGCUGGAGAAGGGAAAGGUGAGAAAGGUGCUUUUCCUAAUGGGAACCGGGCCAAGAUGAGCUGCCCUGUCUGUGGUGCGCUGUGGAAAGUGCUUGUUAAUGGUAAAGGAUUUUUUUUUUAAACUCAAUCAGGAGUUCUUCUGAGGAUUAACAUUAUUCAGAAGCAUUUGUGAGG